Molecule: ribosomal RNA, 119 nt
Filed under: Elusimicrobiaceae bacterium
Lineage: Bacteria; Pseudomonadati; Elusimicrobiota; Elusimicrobia; Elusimicrobiales; Elusimicrobiaceae
Source: RNAcentral
ACUGAUAUUAUUUCCGAUAAGGCAACACCCGUUCCCAUUCCGAACACGGCAGUUAAGCUUAUCAGGGUCGAUGGUAUUGGCACCCAAUUCGGUGCUGAGAGAGUAGAUCGAUGUCGGUC